This 75-nucleotide transfer RNA is filed under the name Actinomycetota bacterium. Its description in RNAcentral is "Actinobacteria bacterium (sediment metagenome) tRNA-Val". It matches the Rfam family "tRNA". Rfam says of the family: Transfer RNA (tRNA) molecules are approximately 80 nucleotides in length. Lineage: Bacteria; Bacillati; Actinomycetota. The record is from RNAcentral.
GGGCGAUUGGCGCAGCGGGAGCGCAGGACGUUUACACCGUCAAGGUCGGGGGUUCAAAUCCCUCAUCGCCCACCA